Molecule: ribosomal RNA, 253 nt
Filed under: uncultured bacterium
Lineage: Bacteria
Description: partial 16S ribosomal RNA
Rfam family: Bacterial small subunit ribosomal RNA
Source: RNAcentral
UACGGAGGGUGCAAGCGUUAUCCGGAUUCACUGGGUUUAAAGGGUGCGUAGGUGGUUUUGUAAGUCAGUGGUGAAAGCCCGGAGCUCAACUCCGGAACUGCCAUUGAUACUGCUUAACUUGAAUCAAGUAGAGGUGGAUGGAAUAAUACAUGUAGCGGUGAAAUGCUUAGAUAUGUAUUAGAACACCGAUUGCGAAGGCAGUUCACUAUGCUUGUAUUGACACUGAGGCACGAAAGCGUGGGGAUCAAACAGG